UACGUAGGGUGCUAGCGUUGUCCGGAUUUAUUGGGCGUAAAGGGCUCGUAGGCGGCGUGUCGCGUCUGCUGUGAAAACUGGAGGCUCAACCUCCAGCCUGCAGUGGGUACGGGCAGACUAGAGUGCGGUAGGGGAGAUUGGAAUUCCUGGUGUAGCGGUGGAAUGCGCAGAUAUCAGGAGGAACACCGAUGGCGAAGGCAGAUCUCUGGGCCGUAACUGACGCUGAGGAGCGAAAGCAUGGGGAGCGAACAGG
This 253-nucleotide ribosomal RNA is filed under the name uncultured bacterium. RNAcentral's name for it is "partial 16S ribosomal RNA". It matches the Rfam family "Bacterial small subunit ribosomal RNA", at positions 524 to 776 of the family's 1533-position model. The record is from RNAcentral.